RNAcentral lists this long non-coding RNA (288 nucleotides) under Homo sapiens (human). Its description in RNAcentral is "HSALNT0092014". The record is from RNAcentral. Lineage: Eukaryota; Metazoa; Chordata; Mammalia; Primates; Hominidae.
GUCUGCUUUGGGUCUGGAUCCCUCAGGUGCCCGUUUGGUGACAGGAGGAUAUGACUCUGAUGUUAAGUUUUGGGAUUUUGCUGGAAUGGAUGCUUCUUUUAAGGCAUUUCAAUCCCUUCAGCCCUGAUGGUGAUUGCUCACACCAAAGCCUUGGACCCCUCCCAGCCUGUGACCUUUGUGACCAACUCCACCUACGCAGCAGACAAGGGGAUUUGGAGUCCAGCCUUCCAGACCUGAUCUUAUACACCAGCCUCGCUUUACAUCAUGCUGCAAAAUCCUCAGGUAAUU